Molecule: long non-coding RNA, 24434 nt
Filed under: Medicago truncatula (barrel medic)
Lineage: Eukaryota; Viridiplantae; Streptophyta; Magnoliopsida; Fabales; Fabaceae
Description: long non-coding RNA (MTRU_LNC001455)
Source: RNAcentral
AGAGAAUAGGGCUGUUGGAGAUCAAGCACUACAUCGUAGAAGGAUAUUCUUACCUUAGCACAAAAGGGUAUUCUUACAAUAUCAAAGAAUUGGAUUCAUGGGUUGAUGAUAGAGAUAGCAAUUGUUGUGUUUGGAAUAGAGUCAAGUGCUUUUCUGGUCAAAUAGUUGAAUUAUCCAUCUAUAGUUUAAUAAAUGAUUUCCCUGAUCCUAUUAUGUUAAAUGUUUCAUUGUUCCGUCCGUUUGAAGAGCUACGCCUCCUCAACUUAUCCUCCAACCAUAUUCAAGGCUGGAUUGGCAACGAAGGUACUACUUUGGUCCCUAUAUAAGAGUUCUUUAACAAAUUUAUACAAAUUAGAAAAGUUGGUUAAUUUUUAUUUAUUGUGUUAAAUUUGUUAAAAUUUUAAUUUGGUCUCUAACAUAGUCUCAGAUACUUAUUUUUUUGUUGUUGUGCAAUCUCAUAUAUUAAUUAAUACUAUGAAAGAGUUUUUAAUUGUACCAUGAUUUUAAUCCACUUGGGAUGGUUUGGUGGUGUUGACUUAAGACUUUGGAGUAUGCUCUUUAGCUUCAUAAAAAAAAUGACAAUUUUAUACAUUCUUUAAUUUUAGGAUCGAACUCUGUAAUUUUUUAGGCCAAUUAAAUGAUUAAGUUUUCUAUUUUGUUGUUCUCUUUCAUUUGUUAAUUUUUCUAUUUCAUGGUUCACUGUUUUUUUUGUUCUCUUUCAUUUUUCAUGACUUUUGUUUCCAUAUUGUAACAAAUUUAAAAAUAAACCAUUGACAUAAACAUUUUUCAUUAAUCAAAAGAUUGUGUAGAAAGUACUGGACGUCAUCUUUCAUAGCUAGCUUCCUCUGUUUCUUUGAAACUAACUUAUUAUGCUUCUUUUUAUGCUUUUUUUGAAGGUUUUCCAGGACUUAAAAAGUUGGAGACACUAGACCUUUCAACCAACUAUCUAAAUAGUAGCAUCUUGUCAAGUUUGAAUGGAUUAAUGGCUCUAACAACUUUGAACCUCGGUUAUAACAUUUUAGAUGAUAACUUCUUCCCUCAAGGUACAAUUUAUUCCUAUAAUUUAUUUAUUUUUCAAUACAAAAGAUGAAUAUGACUGCUUGUUCAAAUCAUGUAUGUUUUAUCGAUCAACAAUGUUACCUUAGUACUUAUUUAUUAGACUUAGUUAACAAAUUUAAAAUUUUGUUAAUUUUGAUUUUUUUAGUUUUAAAUAUGCUAACAUUUUUAUAUUAAUUUUAAAAAUUAUAAAUAAUUGACGAUAUAAAAAUAGAUAUCGGUAUUUAGUAUUUACAAUAACUUGCAUAUGGAUGAAUGAAAUAUAUGAAUUCUUUUUAUCUUUAUAGUUAUCUAGUAUAUCAAUAGGUCUUAUUAAAUUUGGUGGGAUUAGUAUAAAUUUUGACCAAUACAAAAACAAGUGUUGUAAAUAGUACCCUAAAUGUUUUUUUUUGAAGGAAGUACAGUAAACGUUAUGUCACUAGCAUAAUUAAUACAAGAGAGAUAAUUUUAACGAGGCCUUUUAUAAAGGGAGAAAUAUAUAAAUGUUUCCAUAAAUGUAACUUAAUUGGUCAGAACAUUGUAGUAUGUUAGGGUCGGUGUUUGAAUCCUUAUUCUUCAUUUAUUUACUACAUUGCAGUAUCUCUCUUUCUUUUAAUUAACAUAUUUCUUAAUGUUUGUGUGUAAAAAUAUUAAACGAAUUUUUUUUUUUAAGUAAACAAAAAUGGAAUAUAUUACUAUGAACACCGUUAUUGUUGAAGCACAAGACGUGCCAUAACAAUUAUGAAAAGAUCAAAAUUCUGUCAAAAUUACAUCAAAGUCAAUCGAUACCCAUACAUAAAAGCGGGCUCGACCACCAAUUAUGUGUAACCAAAAAUUAAAGACUUGUUGUGAAUUCGUGACAAAAAUCAAACCAAUGAAUAACAAUGAUGUGUGGAGCAAAGGAAGUGGUAAUCAAUGUGUAAAGUGUCUCCAAACAACAACAACAAAAACAGACCUAAAUCUAAGUGUAGAACAACACCACAAACAUAAUCAAAACAAUAGAGAUAAGCAAUGAAAGAAAGGAACAAACACACUGAGAUUGUUGACCUAGUUCGGUCCAAUAUGACCUAAUCUGGGGGAGAGAGCAGCUCUCCAACCCACUAUGAUGAAAGUGUUACAAAAAAUUUACAAGAAAAUAGCUUGCAAGCAUACACAAGAACAAGACCUAAUUUCUACUCAUUUUGUGUCAGCCACUCUCAGAAUAUGAACCCUAAAGAGAAAACACAAAAGGAAGCUUAUGAUCCUUCCAAUGGUGAAAUCUCACUACCUAAGGUGUUUACAAAGUUUCCCAAUCCAAGAGAUCCUCACUACAAAGACACUCAACCCUAAAGUUACCUCCUCUGUAAUCCAAGUUUCUCUUACUUCAAGCUCUCCUUCAAAAUCUGCACAAGAACACUUAUAUAGCAGUCUUCAGUAGAUAAAAAUCGUGUCACGUUUUCCAAAUCGUGACACGAUUGGUGCGCACAACCCAAGGUGCGACCAACCUUAUCCUGAAAACGUACCCAACAAGUUUGAAAAUCGUGUCACAUUUUCACAAAAUCGUGCCACGAUUGGUCACCCCUGCAAACCAGCUCACGACAUUGCAAAAUCGUGUCACGAUUUCUCUGUUCUUCCAAACCACAAAUUUGAAGCCAAUUUUCAACAUUUCUCCACCUUGACUACUAAUUGGUGGUGAUGUUAGUUUACCCAUCAACCACCUUGCUGCUUUCUCCAAAAGGGAAUUACUCUUCAACGAACUUGAUCAAUUUCAAGCAAUGCUUGAACCUUGAUCUAGGCAAUGAUUUGGUAAACACAUCCGUCGGAUUCUCUUUCGAUGCCACCUUUACCACCACGAUAUCUUUUGAUUUAACCAUGUCUCUGACAAAGUGCAAGCGAAUGUCAAUGUGCUUUGUCCUCUCAUGAUACACUUGAUCCGAUAGAGAUUUUCUUGUGUCCACAUUACCCGCAUAGUCCGCAUCAACAUACCCCCUCCAAAGCGUCUUCCUCUUGUGUACUUCAAACCGCCCUUCAAAGACCCAUUCAAAUACCUCAACACCCACUUCAAAGCUUGCCAAUGCACAAUACCCAGAUUUGCCAUAAACCGACUUACAAUGCUAACCGCAUAAGCUAAGUCUGGUCUACUACAAAACUUUCCAUACAUGAUGCUUCCAGCCCCACUUGCACAGGGAGUACCUUCCAUCAAUUGUUUCUCAUCCUCGCAUUGAGGACAUUGUUUUAUGGACAACUUUGUGUGGUGGCCCAAGGGAGUGCUCACGGUUUUAGAGUUAGACAUUCUAAACCGCUCCACCACCUUCUUCAAAUAACUAAGUUGAGAUAAGAAAAGUUCGCCUUUGUCACGAUUCCUCAAGAUAUCAAUUCCAAGAACUCUCUUUCCCGGACAAAGAUCUUUCAUCUCAAAUUCACCAUUUAACUUUUCUUUGAGCUUCUUAAUCUCAUCCUUCCUAGAGCUUGCCAUCAAGAUAUCAUCCACAUAUAAAAGAAGGUAGAGAAUGACUUUCUCACCCUUCUUCAACAUGUACACACAAGAAUCUUAUCCGCUUCUCACAAAACCGGGCUUCAAAAGAAAUUCAUCAAACUGAUGAUACCAUUGCCCAGGGAUUUGCUUCAACCCAUACAAAGAUUUCUUUAAAAGACAUACCUUAGACUUGUCUUUCACAAAACCUUCCGGUUGCUCCAUGUAUUGUCUCUUCAAGGUCACCAUGUAAGAAAGCAGUCUUCACAUCCAUUUGUUCAAACUCAAGAUUGAAUUGAUUCACAAUAACCAUAAGUAUCGUUAUGGAACAAUGUUUCACCACCGGUGAGAAGAUCUCAUUGUAGUCAAUCCCCUCCACUUGAGUGAAACCCUUGGCCAUAAGUAUUGCUUUGUACCUUGGACCUUCAACACCCGGAAUACCUUUCUUUUUCUUGAAGAUCCACUUGCAUCCAACUACCCUUUGGUGUUUAGGUAGCUUCACAAGUUUCCAAGUUCGGUUCUUUUCCAAUGAAUCCAUCUCUUCAUUCACCGCAUUUAACCAAUACUUACCCUCUUUGCUAUCAAAUGCCUCUUUGAAGUUUCUAGGCUCCGAGUCUUGCACAUCUUCAGCCGCAUUUAGAGCAAAACAAACCAAGUCCGCAUAACCAUAUCUACUAGGAGCCGUAAUGGUCCUCCUUUCUCUAUCUCUAGCCAAGAGAGAAUCAGGAUCCACUACCGGUUGAGUUCCACUUGUAUCUGAUGUCGAAGCUUCAUCUUCUACAUCAUCUUCUUCUUCACUUGGAAGCUCCACCUCAAACUGAGUUUCCUCCACCAUUGUUUCCGGUACCAAAGUCUCUAGGUCUUUACACUUCAUCCCUAUACGGGUCUCAUCAAAGGUAAUAUCCCUACUAAUCAAGACUUUUGAUCCUCCACUAGAUUCCAAUUUCCACAACUUGUAACCCUUCACACCUUCUGGAUAACGAAUAAAGACACAUUUCAAAGCUCUAGUCUCAAGCUUGUCUUUCUUGAUAUGCGCAUAUGCCAAAGCUCCGAAAACCUUCAAAGAUGAGUAGUCUGCCGGUUUCCCAUUCCAUACUUCCAUAGGUGUCUUGAAGUCUAUUGUCGUUGAUGGACAUCUAUUGAUCAAAUAAGCAGUAGUUGUCACUAGUUCACCCCAGAAACUCUUAGGAAGCCCAACUCCUAGAAUCAUACACCUCACACGCUCCAAAAGGGUCAUAUUCAUGCAUUCAGCAAGACCAUUUUGUUGCGGUGUUCUCGGUACGGUCAUAUGCCUCUUGAUUCCUUUUAACGUGCAAAACUCAUUAAAUUGCUCUGAAAUAAACUCCAAGCCAUUGUCAGUUCUUAACCCUUUUAGAUUAGUUCCCAUUUGAUUUUCUAUAAGAGUGUGCCAUUCCUUAAACUUCUCAAAUGUGUCACUUUUGUUUUUCAAAACAAAGACCCAAACUCUUCUAGAAUAAUCAUCAAUGAUGGAAAGAAAAUAGGAACAUCCCUCAUGAGUAAGAGUCUUGGAAGGACCCCAAAGGUCCGAAUGAACAUACUCAAAAGGCCUACUAGAAUGAUGCAUACCACUACCAAACUUUACUCUAUGUUGCUUGCCUAGUAUGCAAUGCUCACAAAAUUCUAACUUGUCCAAUUUAUCUUUUUUUAGCAAAUCUUGUUUAGCUAGUUCAACUAAACCUCUUUCACUAACAUGCCCCAAUCUCAAAUGCCACAAUUCAGAAUUAUUGAGAUACAACACUAGCCACCGAUGCAUUACCAAUUACUAUGGAACCAUCUAAAAUGUAUAAACCAUUCAUUUUAGACCCUAACCGUAAUCAAUGCAUCAUGCUCAAUUUUACAAACCCCAUGCUCAAUUCUAGUGCAAUAACCUAGACUAUCAAACAUGCUUAGGGAAAUUAAAUUUUGCUUAAGUGCGGGAACCAACCUCACAUCCCUUAAAAGGAUUUCACGGCCAUCAAACAUCUUUAUACGAACGUUGCUCGUGCCUUGGACUUUGCACACUUUGUUAUUUCCGAGUCGAACAACUCCUCCUUAAUUUAGAGCCAAAUCAAAAUAUUCCUUCCUAGGACACAUGCGAUAAGAGCAUCCUGAGUCCAAAAACCGACUCUUCUCCAGUUCCCAACUUGUGACCACUAGUGCACCCGCACUCUCAUAACCAUCUUCAUUUGAUGCCUCCGCAACUUGAACGGACGGACUACCAUCACCCCCUUUAUCCGGACAAUCCUUCUUGAAGUGACCUUGCUUAUGACAAAGAAAACACUUAUACUUUUAUUUGUCAAAGCCUUUGGACCUAGACCUGGACCUCGACUUCCCCUUGCCUUUUCCUCUAUGCUCAUUCCUUCCUCUUGCAACAUUCAAGCCUUCACCACCUUCAUCAACCUUCAAGUCCUUGAACUUGGUCAAUUGUUUGGUUCUCAAAGCCGCUUGGACUUCCUCCAAAGUAGUAGUGCCCUCCUUACCAUAAAGGAUGGUAUCCUUGAAAUGCUCAAAAGACUUUGGUAAUGAACAAAGUAACAACAAAGCCUUAUCCUCAUCUUCCAUAUUAACUUCAAUGUUGGCCAAAUCAUCAAAAAAUUUGUUAAAUUCCGCCAAUGUUGGCCGAAGUUUUUUUUUUUUUUAAGAAACAAAAAUGGAAUAUAUUACUAUGAACACCGUUAUUGUUGAAGCACAAGACGUGCCAUAACAAUCAAGAAAAGAACAAAACCCUGCCAAAAUUACAUCAGAGUCAAUCGAUACCCAUACAUAAAAGCGGACUCAACCACCAAUUAUGUGUACCAAAAUUAAAGACUUGUUGUGAAUUUAUGACAAAAAUCACACCAAUGAAUAACAAUGAUGUGUGGAGCAAAGGAAGUGGUAAUCAAUGUGUAAAGUGUCUCCAAGAAACAACAACAAUAACAGACCUAAAUCUAAGUGUAGAGCAACACCACAAACAUAAUCAAAACAAUAGAGAUAAGCAAUGAAAGAAAGGAACAAACACACCGAGAUUGUUGACCCAGUUCGGUCCAAUAUGACCUAAUUUGGGGGAGGGAGCAGCUCUCCAGUCCAUUAUGAUGAAAGUGUUACAAAAUAGUUACAAGAAAAUAGCUUGCAAGCUUACACAAGAACAAGGCCUAAUUUCUACCCAUUUUGUGUCACCCAUUCUCACAAUAUGAACCCUAAAGAGAAAACACAAAAGGAAGCUUAUGAUCCUUCCAAUGGUGAAAUCUCAUUAUCCAAUGUGUUUACAAUGUUUCCCAACUCAAGAGAUCCUUACUACAAAGACACUAAACCCUAAAGUUACCUCCUGUGUAAUCCAAGUUUCUCUCAUUUCAAGCUCUCCUUCAAAAUCUGCACAAGAACACUUAUAUAGCAGUCUUAAACUGAUAAGAUCGUGUCACGUUUUGCAAAUCGUGACACGAUUGGUGCGUACGACCCAAGGUACGACCAACCUUAUCCUGAAAACGUAUCCAGUAAGUUUGAAAAUCGUGUCAAGUUUUCACAAAAUCGUGCCACGAUUGGUCACCCUGCAAACUAGCUCACGACAUUGCAAAAUCGUGUCACGGUGAUAAAAUCGUGUCACGAUUUCUCUAUUCUUCCAAACCACAAAUUUGAAGCCAAUUUUCAACAAGACUACAUUACUAGCUUUCAACCACCACAAGGUAUGUGAUUUUACUUUAUCUAACAAUAACUGUAUAGAACUUUGACGGUUCCGAAAUAACAUGUCACUCCGUUCAUUCCAUAAAACCUAAACACAUUGAAGCCAAAUCAAAUGAAAUAAAGAUCGACGGGAUUUCAAGCCACCUGCAUAUUCAAUAAAUUGCACAGAAUAAUUUGAGAUAGCCCUUCGACAUCAAGCCAUGCCCGCACCAUAGGAUUAUUUUAAAAUGAAUGAGUAUAAGUUUAUCCUUCAAAAGAGAGAGUUUAUUUAAGUUCCCAUGAUGAUAUCUUUGGGUGCCAACUGGAGUCAAAGAUCUUAAUUACGCAGCGUUAAUCAAAAAGAAAGAGGUAGUACUUUAGUGGUAAAUUGAUAAAGAAAUAUUAUUUAAUGCACUUGAAAAUCCAAAGAUGGUCUUAUAAAGAAAAUGACAAGAAUUUUUUUUCCAAAUGGGAUGUAUAUUUUUUACAUAAUUUAAAUACUUGAUAAUCAUUGUUUUCUCUGAUAUCUAAUAUUUUAGAAAUCAUCUCCAUCAUAUCGAAAUUUACACUAGUGUUUCAAAUUGUAGACCACAUUGCUUACAAUAUUACAGUUGUUACAGUGUAAUGUAAUCAACCACAACAUACUAAAACCAGUAUUCAAACUUGGUAACAAAGUGGGUACAAAAACCACAUUAGACUGCAACAAACUAUAUAGUGAUCAGGCAAAUCAUUUUGAUAUCUUCCUUUCUUUAUGUAAAAGGGUUAGAGAUAUUUUAGGGUUCUAUAGAGAGAAUAUGUGUAAAUUAAAACCAUAAUUUCUAUCACGUUGUUAUUUAUUUUUGACAAGUUCAUCACAUGUCAUUACCCAUAAUACCAAGGGAAUCUCUUUUUAUAUAUUAUUCUUCAUAGGCCAUAAAUGUCUGAAGGUGCAUAGACAUUAAAAUGGAAAAAAAGUUAAUAUUGAAACUUUUUGUCGGUUUAACUAUAUAUAACUGUAAUCAUACUUGACUAUGAUUCAAUAUUGAAGGCAAUUACACGUGUUUGUACAAGUGUUUAAUUGCAUGCAUGAUAAGUUUAGCAUUUUUGUCAACUUUAAGUCAUUCCAUGUGCUUAAUUAAAAAAUUAUUAAUACAAGAGAGAUAAUUUUUUUUUUAAGAUACAAGAGAGAUAAUUUUAACGAGGCCUUUUAUAAAAGGAGAAAUAUAUAAAUGUUUCCAUAAAUGUAACUUAAUUAGUCCGAACAUUGCAGUAUGUUAGAGUUGGUGUUUGAAUCCCUAUUCUUCAUUUAUUUAUUAUACGAGGUGAAUUUAAUAAAUUACUUGAUAAAAAAAAAUUGUUAAUAUGUCACACGCACUUAGUCAUUUAAUUUUUUUUUUUUUUGACAAAUAGUCAUUAAAAUUCAUGGAACCCACGUUCAUGAAUUUUUUUUUAAAGAGGUUCACCAGUUGAUUUGGAGAAUUUGAAGAUAUAAGUCUCAUAUAAUAAUAUUAUGUAGGCGUUAGACUUAUUUUUUUUUUUUUUUAAGCAAAGGGAAUGCAACCAGGGAGGAAGCAACCCUAAAUAUAUUCAAAACAGAGAAAUAAGAAACCAAAAAACAAGAGGAAUGAGGGGGGACAAAAAACCAAAACCCUCAAAAGAGCUUAGCAAAACCUAAAAUUAGGAAAACCUGUCUUAUUCUUUACAAAUUCAACAUUAACCUGAGAAGGUACAUUGUUGAACCAAGAAUAAGAAGGCAAGGUUAAACCUAAGUUAGCAAGCUGAUCUGCACAACUAUUACCUUCUCUAUAUAUGUGAGAAACAUUAAAAUUAAACAUAGAUAAAAUGAAUAGACAAUUGUCCCACCUAUUUCUUAGAGACCAAGGCACUAUUUUAGAAGACUUGAACGCCAAUAAAACUAGCAUGGAAUCCGUUUCCAACCAUAGGUUGUGCCAGUUCUUAACAUGAGCAAUUUCAAUUGCUACCAUAGCUGCUAUAAGUUCAGAGUGAAGAGCAGUAGAGACUCCCAAGUUAACGGAGAAAGCUCCUAGAAAAUCUGCAUCUGAGUUUCUAAAAAUUCCUCCACAAGCUGCCAAGCCCGGAUUACCCUGCGCUGCCCCGUCAGUGUUACACUUAACCCAAUUAAAAAUUGGAGGAGACCACAUGACUUCUUUGAUGAUAUGAGAUUUUGGAGGAUUGAUUUUUACAUCAAAUUUUUUGAGAAUAACAAAUUCAGAGAUAGAAGAACUAGCUGCUAGCGUGGAGCUGUUACCUGAGAGGUGAGUUCCUGCAAUAAUAAGAUUGAUAGCUGAGGCAACCUGGAUUGUCUUAUCAUUAAACCUACUUUGGUUUCUGCAGUGCCAGAUUAUGUUGAAGCAAUAGAUGAUGGCAGCCAGAAUGACAAGUUUACAAUGUGGGGACCAAUUUCUUUCUGAGAUUCUAAUGAUGUCCAUGAAGGAUGUUAAGUUACAAUUUAAGUUGAGCAAGGAACCGAGCCAGUGCCAAACAUCAGAUGCGAAAGGGCAUUCAAUGAACAAGUGAAUAGAAGUUUCCUGUGCAGCACCACAAAGAUUACAAAUGGAAGGUAACAUACAUCCUCUUUUAGAGAGAUUGUCAUCGGUUGGCAAUUUGUCAUGUAAUAAUCUCCACACUAAGAAAGAUUUGGAAGGGGGAAUAGCAGCAUGCCAAAUCAUUUUGGUCCAGCUAAGAGUUUGAGGAUGAUUAGAAGCAUGAAAAGUGUAAGCAGCUUUGAAAGAUAGGGACCCAUCAUGUGAAUUUUUCCAAAUGAGUUUGUCAUCUUUUGGAAUCAAAGGAAUGAUAGUUGAAGAAAGUUUCUGUUUAAGGAUGGGGUAAGCAGAUAUGAAAGCUUGAGGCACAUUCCAUUUGGAGUCCAUGAUAUAAGUGUCAAGGUGAGAUUGGAGAAGAUGGUGGAGGUGUUGAGGGAUGUUAAGGGCAGUGAUUAAAGGAUCUCCACACCAAGGGUCCGUCCAAAACUUGAUAGUUUGACCAUUACCUAUUUUCCACAAAACAUUGUCCAUAAGAGUGUUAAAUUUGUGCUUGGCACCACUCCAAAUUGAAGAUGAGAUAUGAUGGUUGAUGGGUUUGUUGUUUCUUAAAAACCCUGCUUCUGAUAAGUUGAGUCCAUUGUAGCUCGGAUUGAAGAAUGUCCCAGCAAUUUUUGAGGUUUCCUGCUUCAUUAAUGUAACUUAGCUUUCUCAAACCUAGACCUCCCUCCUUGAGUGGUGUACAAACUUUAUGCCAGGCAACUGUUACUAACUUUCUUUGAUUUACAUCACCAAACCAUAUGAAGUUUCUCAUCCAUUUUUCCAUAUCCUUUAAAAGUUUAACUGGCCAAGAAUAGAUGGAAAGACUGUGAAGAAGCAUACUUUGAAUUACACUCUUUACUAAUUGCACUCUACCAAUAAUGGAUAGAAGAGAUGCUUUCCAAGCUGAGAGCUUGCUUUUAACUUUAUCAGCAAGAGGUUGAAAAUAAGCAUACUUUGCCCUGCCUUUGAAAAUUGGAACACCUAAAUAGGUAAAUGGAAGAAUUCCAACUUGAAAACCUAUUUGAUUAGCAAUUUGAUUCAAUCUUGAAGCAGAAAUAGAACCUGCAUACAUAAAGGAUUUUUGAGGAUUGACCAUUUGCCCAGAAGCUUCAGCAUAAUCCAUAAAGGCUUUCUUGAGAACCUUGAUGUUUGAAUUUGUUCCUUUACAAAAUAUCAUCAUAUCAUCAGCAUAAAGAAUGUGUGAAGGAAUUUGAAUAUCUCUGGUACCAUUGAUAAGCUUGAGCUUUCCCUCCCUAACCAACUUGGUUAAUCUCCUGCUUAUAACUUCUUCUGCAAGGCAAAAGAGAAGAGGUGAUAGAGGAUCACCCUGUCUCACCCCUCUAGAACAACUAAAGUAUCCAUGAAGCUUACCAUUGAUUGAAACUGAUAGUCUAGCAGAUGAGAGAAUGGAAUGGAUCCAGUUGCAAAAUUUACUACAAAACCCAAAACUUUUUAGAACUUUGAGCAAGAAAUGCCAGUCAAGAGUGUCAAAAGCUUUAGCAAUAUCUAUCUUCAUGGCCAAGUUUCCUCCAAAAGACUUUUUGUUCAGAACAUUGAUCGCUUCAGAGGUUAGGCAAAUGCAGUCCUUGAUGCUCCUUCCUUUGAUGAACCCUCUUUGUUGUGUAGAGAUGAUAGCAGGCAUGAUUUUGGAGAGCCUAUCUGCCAGAAUCUUGGAAAUGAGUUUGAAUUUGAAGUUUGCAAUGGCUAUUGGCCUAUAAUCAGUCACCUUCUCUGCAUGGUUAGUUUUUGGAAUAAGAACAAUAUUAUUUGAAUUGAAAUUUGGGAGAAUCCAUCCAUUUUUAAAAAAAUCCAGAACCACAUUUAAAACAUCAGUUUUGAUGAUUUCCCAAAAAGUUUGAUAGAAUAGAGCUCCAAAUCCAUCAGGACCUGGGGCACUAUCCUUGUUCAAAGAAAAAACAGCACUAUGGACUUCUUCCUGAGAAGGAAUCAUAGUGAGAAUGUUGUUUAUCCUGUCAGUGAUAAGAGAUGGAAUUACAUCUUCAAUCAUUCCAUUGUCAGUGGUAUUUGAUGUUUGAUUGAAUAAAUUUGAGAAAUGAGUGACAAAAUGAUCUGAGAUAUCUGAGGGAUUAGUUAAGAGUUCAUCACCGUUGUGUAUGGAUGAGAUAAGGUUAGAGGCGUUUCUGAUUUUGGUUAUUCUAUGAAAAUAGGCUGUGUUUCGGUCCCCUUGAGCAUGCCACUGAAUUUUGGAUUUUUGUUGCCAGUAGGUUUCUUCAAUGUUUAAAGCAUGUUCCAAUUCAAUCUGUGCAGCUUUUUCUUGAUCAAGAAGAUCAUCAGUAACCCCUAGAAUGUCUAGUUGAUCUUGAAUAAAAUCAACUUUUUGAGUAGCAUUUUUGACAUUAGCAUGCACAUCCCCAAAGGUAUUUUUGUUCCAAGAUUUUAGGGCUGUUUUGAGAUGUUUGAGUUUUUGGUUAAGUAUAAACAUGGGGCAACCUACUACAGGGGUAUUCCAACUAUUCCUAACAAGGUCUAUACAAUCAGGGUGGGAGAGCCAUAUUUUGAGAAAUUUAAAUUGGGAAGUAAAAGAGCAGUCAUCAUUUUUAAAUUCUAAAAGGAUUGGAAAGUGGUCUGACCUAAUUUUGGUUAAGGUGGAAGCAAGAACCAGGUUACAAGAAGCAUACCAUUCUUGGUUACAAAUUGCUCUAUCAAGCCUUCUUUGUAUGUUGAAUCUCCCUCUUCUUCCAUUGGUCCAUGUAAAGUCUGCACCUCUUGUGUGAAUGUGAAUGAGAUUAUUAGAGUCUGACCAUUCUUGAAAAUCUUUCAUGGCACUAUCAGGAACUCUAUAUCUGCUUCUUUGUUCAUGGGCCCCCAAAAUUGUAUUGAAGUCUCCUAAACAGCACCAUGGAGUAUGGAUAGAGUUUUGAACUGAUUGCAGCUUCUCCCAAAGCUCUUUCCUUUUCAACUGACAAUUUGAAGCAUAAACUCCAGAUAACGUAAAACACAUGGCAUUUAGGGUGAUUUGAAUAGUAAUAUGUUGAUCAUCCAUAUUAAUAAGUGUAGGGGUUAAGGUUUUAGAGCAAAAGCACCACAGAUUUGGUGUCAAAUUUCCUCUAUCAUUAACACAGAAAACUUUCAUUCCCAAUCUAUCCAACCAAAGCUUAGAAAAAUUGUCAAUAUGCAUCCAGGGCUCAGCAAUAAAGCAUAAAUCAGGCCUAUGCAAAAUUAAAAGUUUUUUAAGUGCUAACUUAGUUGGGGAGUUAGCUAAUCCCCUCAAAUUCCAGAAGAGGCACUUCAUUGGGAAGGUUUGGAGGUUCCAACCUUUGAUCUGGUAAUGUAACUGCUCUUGAGAGCUUUUUGCGCCUUCUUAGUGCCUUUUGAAAUGACCUGCUGAAAACCAUCAUCAUCCACAUCUGUAUUUAUCAAUAGCUGCAUGUUCUUUGGAGAUGUAACUUGAUGAUUCACGAUUUCUAACACUGGAUUAUUCACUUGCAAUUCAGUAUGAUUAGACUAUUUUCUUCUUAAAUUAACAAUAACUAAAAUUAAUCUGUGAAAUGAAUUUUUUUUUAAGUCACGUUUGUUUUUUAUUGACCAAUUCGGUCUUUAAGAUAGUUUCAGAUAUUGAUUGAUACUAGGAAGUAUUUUUAAUUUUAUAAUGAUUUCAUAAAUUCUUUAAUUUUAGGAUCGACUUAUGUAAUUUUUUAGACAAAUUGAGUGGUUUGUUUUUCUAUUUCACAUGGCUCACUGUAUUUUCCCUUCAUUUUUCGCGACUUUUAUUUCUCUUUUGCAACAAGUGUUGAAAUAAAUUGUUAACAAGAAACUGUUUUCAUUAAUCAUGUUUCUUUUGAAGGGUUUCCUAGACUUAAAAGAUUGGAGACAUUAGAUCUUUCAGGGAACGAUCUAAAUAGUUGCAUUUUGCCAAGUUUAAAUGGAUUGACUGCUCUAACAACUUUGAACCUCGGUGAUAAUGACAUGGAAAACUUCUCUUCUCAAGGUACGUUUUGUUUCAAUAAUUUAUUUAUGGAGUUUAUGUGAUGAAGUGAAUGAAUUAGAAGACAAUUAUAAGAUCCCAAAAAAAUAUUAAUUAUUAACGAUAAUAAGAGACUUUAAAUAAAAUGAAAAACUGGUUAUAAAUCAUUGGUAGGAAUUGAAAUUAAUUAACAAAAGCUUUUCAUUAUGUAUAUUGUUGAAGGAUUUUUGAGAUCAAAGGAGUUGGAGGUCUUAGACCUUUCCUAUAAUGGGCUGAACUGCAAUAUCAUAACAAGUUUGCAUGGAUUCACAUCAUUAAGGAGUUUGAUUCUGAGAUACAACAACUUCAAUUGUUCUCUCUCCACUUUAGGUACACAUCUUCAAUUCUUAUAUUAUGAUGAAUGUUUUUAUUUUCAUUUUUAAAAAGAACUAUAUUAUGUCCUUUCAACAGAUUUUGCUAAAUUUAAUCGGCUAGAACUAUUGGACUUGGAUGGUAAUCAAUUGAUUGGUUCACUACAUGUUGAAGGUACUUUUACUAUUAUUUUUAUUUCAACUACUAUUUAUGGUUACAAAGAAACAAAAUUUAUUACCACUAUUUAUGGAAAAACAUUUUAUAGGAAAAUUUAUUCUGUUUGAGAAAUUCAGAAUAGGGUUAUGCUCCCUAAUUUUUGAGAAUAGGGUUAUGCUCCCUAAUUUUGCUUUCUUGAACUUCAAUUUCACCUUCCUCGUGGUUUUCCCCUUUCUCACUACUACAGAAAUGACAUUUCACAUCAGUGGAAAUCGACAUUUCACAUCGGGUCCCAACCGAUGUAACUAAAGGUGAGGUUGUAUGUCCGUAACAUUUCACAUCGGGUAUGGGACCGAUGUGAAAAUCCAUUUUCCACAUCGGUCUUUGAUUCAACUGAAGGGAAACCGCUUUUUUUACAAAUCUGAAAAUGUAUUUCACAACGGCAGAUUUGACAUCCCCGAAGUGAAAUGUACAUAUUCCACAUCUGCUUUAAUUGAACCCGAUGUGAAAUCCGUUUUUAUUUAAAAAAUUAAAAAAUUUUAUUCAUUGACUUCAUUUUCCUGAUGCGACAAAAUUCAUAUAACAAAAUAACUUAAAAAAUUCAAUGAAAAACAAGAAAAUUGUCUUAUAUACACUCUCACAAAUGCAAACUCCUAAAGAGUUUUUGUUCAAUAAAAAAAAUCCUAAUGAGUUCAUAUCACAAAUGUCGGCAAAUAUCAUAAUUUUGAAAUUCAAGUAUUCUAUUUCUAUAGUUCCAAUCUCUACAAUAGAAUAAGCAGGCACAACCUAAUUUCCAUUAACAUGUUGGGAAACCAAAGAGGAACUAUUUUUCCUCUUUUGACAUUCUUUAAUAUCUUAAUUAACACCGUUAACACGAAGCUUGGUCAAACACACCUUAUCAGAGCCCUCACUCUUCCUCUCAAUUGCAGGAAUAAUAUUGAGAUCCUUAAGUGCCGUCACUGACAUCCCUGUCAACUAUCAUCUGAAAUAAAACAGGAAGACAACUAAUCAAACUCAACACUAAGGGCUACUAAAACCACCAUUUAUAUAACUUCUAAAAAACAAGUACAACGACAACAAAAAGUUAUAUAAAAACAUAAAACAAAACUUUUAAGUCAAGAUCUGCAGUCAACAACAAAGACCAUGUCUCUCCAAAUUACGAUUGCAAGACAUUGUUCUUAUUUACCGGUUCUAAUUUGAGUUAUCACAAACAUAGGCACGCACAUUCAAAUUAAAAUUGAGCCUCCAAUUCAAAGACAACAAUCUUAAGUCAAACACAAAUAUAUAUUGAAGUUCUAAUAAAAUCGAUAAUUGAAAAAGUCAGUUCCAAUCUUAGAAUUGAACUUCCGCUUCAAAGCAUUAUUACACAUGAUCAACAUAUUUUCAAACUAAAAAAAAAAUCAAAGUGAUUCAAUCACAAACUAAAGAGUCUAGUUAUUAACAAAGUGAUUCUGACUUUAGAUCUUUUAUAAAUAAUAGUAUUAAUAUUUUAUUUAAUUAUUAUAAAUUAAAUUAAUAUGUGUGUAGCAGUGUCGAUGUGUUUGUAUCGAUGGCAACUUCUUUAAUUGUGCAGUGGCAGCAUCAACAAGGCCUUGCUCACUUCCACCUACAAAAUAAAAUGCAUUCUAAAUCCCUUUCAUUCACACAACAAAAAUUAACUGAUAUAUAUAUAUAUAUAUAUGUAUAUGUAUAUGUAUAUAUAUAUAUAUAUGGGUUUGCUAGAACACACCCAUUUAGUUUUUAUGUGAAAGUGUUUUAGCAAAGCUACACCUUAAGGUGUAUUUAACCACUUUUUAGUUAUUCACUUACUAAAAUACUCCUUCUAAAAAAUAAGUGGGUGUAUUCUAGCAAAGGCCUAUAGGAUUUGCUAGAACACACCCAUUUGUUUUUUUAGAAGGUGUGUUAUAGCAACAUACACCUUAAGGUGUAUUUAUUAAUUUUUUAGUUAUAACUUGCUAAAACACUCCCACAUAAAAACUAGUGGAUGUGUUCUAGCAAAUCCCAUAUAUAUAUAUAUAUAUAUAAUUUACAUUUGCUACAACUUUCCUAUGUUAAUUAAUAUACACCUUUGUGUGUGUUAGUAUCUGAAUGUAAAUUAUAAUUAACUGAUAAUAUCGUAUACUACAAGAUGCUUUUCAAAUAUUACACUAUGCAGUAUCAUAUAUUAUCAAAAUUGCAAAGAAAUAUGAGCAUUAAUGAAAAUUCAAAUUUACAGACAAAGUUAGUACUCUUAUCUCUAUGUAGAAAUAGUGUGGCCAAUCAGCCAAACAGAGAACUAUAAGGUAUAGAAUCUUGAGAUGGCAGCCGUAAAGGAAAACACACCAGAAAGUUAACCACUAAUAUUGGCUGGAAGCAUGCAUAGCAGCUAUAGGUUGAAAGAUAAAUAACUAAAUAAAUAAAAAGGCAGAAAUAAAUAUCAUAUAUACCUAGAGCGGUGGACCAUAGACCAGCAAGUGGGUCAAGAUAUUUCUUCUCAUUUAUGUCAUAUACAUAACUUCCCUGGAUUCGUUAAUCACGUAAAUUACUUAUAUCAAAAAACAAAUUAAAUCCGGUAAGUUAUACACGCAAAAACUGGUUAUCUUGUGAAUAAAAACAAAAUGAAAAUAUAAUUACUAACAUAUUUUAUAAUGAAGUAAUUCAAUAAAAAUCAAAGAAACGUAGCAUGGGAGUAUACCUCAGACUUUUCAAUAAUCAAAGGAUUCAACUCAUUAGUCUGCCACCCAGCAGUGAAAGGGGCAAGCAUAUCAUGGCUCUUGAACCUGAAAUAGUCAAAUAUUUCUGCAGAUUUACACAUGGUAAUCAUAUCAAGCUUAAACUUAGAUUAAUUUUAAAUUCUUUUCUGUUUAAAAAACAAAUAAACUUCAUGCAUGGGCCCUCCCCCAGAAUUGUUUUUCCUUGACCUAUGGUUACUUAAAGCUGUUACAAAACUCAAUAGGAAUCUAAAGAGAAGAGAAAGGAAUCAGAUUAUGUAUCCAACUACAUUCGUGAAUGAAUCUGAAUUACAAACACAUGUUUAAAGAGGUGAUUGUCCCGAUCAUUCAAUUCCCCCAUUAGAUAGUAAAAGGGUUUUUACACCUCUGCCAUAAUACAAUUAGUUUGUUGAAAAUCUCAACAUAAAAGGUGCCAAAUUAGAUAAGUACAAAAUAGUGCUAUGUUUAGUUCUUAAAAGCAUACACACAAAAGUGGUAAACAGUUAGCACAGAAGAACCAUAUACCCUUAGCCAGUUUUCGCAUCAGAAGUUGAACUAUCCUUUGCCAAAGAAGAUUGUGAACUACUUGUCCUCGACCAUAAAGGAGCCUGAAGUAGAGUUUCCUGAAAACUUCUGGAAACUGCUGCAGAUGCUAAAGCUGAAGCAGACUGUAAAUAAGAAAAACAUAACCAUAGUAAGACAAAAAAAAACUAGUGACAGAUAGGGUUGCUUAACAUAUUCAAAUUGCUUCUUUUUUUAGCAUUCGCAGAUGCUCAAUUUCUUGUAUUUAUGGAGAAUGAUACCACCGCAAAAAAGCCUAACAUUUAGUGUCGAACACCAUCUUUAAAAAAGCCUAACAGUAGAUUCAUAUAGUGUGGUUAACUAAAGUUUGAAUCCCGGCUAAAAGCCUAACAUUUAGUGUUGAACACCAUCUUUAAAAAAGCAAAGACCAGCCUCAUCUCUGUGACGAUGCGCCCAUUUCAUUAUUUUUUCCCAAACCACUCAUCCAUUUUCCAUUAUUUUCCCAAACUACCAUCUCUACUUUGCCUCUCUUACCUUAUAUACCCAAACCAACCUAUCAGUGACCUCAUUCUCACAAACCACUACAUGUCCCACCCACUCUUAAUCUAUCAAUGAAAUGAACUACCAUCACUUCAUCUAAUGCGUACAAUUCUCCAUUCUACAUUUAGAAUUCUCCUAACAUAACACAAAGACUUAGUCUCUUUCUUUGAAAAAAUGUGUUUUGCACAAACCUGUAUUCUCAUCCAAAGAUGGUUAUCGAUUUUGUCUAGUCAUUUUCUCUUUGACGCGAUAGGUUGCCAACUUCAAUGAGUAAAUGCCAUCUUUAUCAUAUUCCCAUACCAAUUUGUCAUCUAGGAUUCUCCAAGAAUUUGAGACUUCAUCUUCUUGUUUUGUCAUAUGCACUCAAAAAAAACUUGAAAUUUUUUAAAUAGUCAAACAUAAUUUGUAAAUUUUUUUUGGGGAAUAGUUCUUACAGAUUUAUUUAUUGAAAUUAUAUCUCUAACUAUGUACUCUCUUUUUUUUUCUGCAGAUGUUCAACAUUUGAAAAACUUGAAAAUGUUAACUUUAAGCUAUAAUCAAAUGAACGGCUCAAUUGAAGGUAUGAAUACUACCAAACACAAAUAAUUAAUUCAUAACUGCUUCACGGGAUGGAUUGUUACAAUGAAGAUAACUUUUUUAUUGAUUUUAAAUUUUAAAUAAUUAACAAAAACAAUGAAAUAAGUUAAUUAAUGUAUAUAUUGACGCCAUUGGAAAAACUUUAAGAUUUUUAUGAUAAUGUCAAUUUUUGUAAAGAUGACAGGACAUAGUUAAUUAAUUAUGACAGGACUAUGCAAUUUGAAGGAUUUGGUAGAACUGGAUAUCAGCCAGAACAUGUUUAGUGCUAAAUUUCCUGAGUGUUUAAGCAACUUAACAAACCUCAGAGUUCUUGAACUUAGUAAUAAUCUGUUCAGUGGAAAGUUUCCAUCUUUCAUUAGCAAUCUCACAUCACUGGCAUACUUAUCCUUCUAUGGAAAUUACAUGCAAGGAUCAUUUUCAUUGAGCACUUUGGCUAAUCAUUCCAAUCUUGAGGUUCUAUAUAUUUCAUCAAAAAACAAUAUUGGAGUAGACAUUGAAACUGAAAAAACAAAGUGGUUUCCUAAAUUUCAAUUGAAGUCACUCAUUCUUAGAAAUUGCAACCUAAACAAGGACAAAGGAAGUGUCAUUCCUACUUUUCUUUCUUAUCAAUACAAUUUGAUGUUGGUGGACCUUUCCGGAAACAAAAUAGUUGGCUCAUCCCCAAGUUGGUUGAUACAUAAUCAUAACAUUAAUUAUUUGGAUAUAUCAAACAACAAUUUAAGUGGGUUGCUAACAAAAGAUUUUGAUUUAUUCCUUCCAAGUGCUACACAGUUGAACUUUUCAUGGAAUAGCUUUGAAGGAAAUAUACCUUCAUCAAUUGGUAAGAUAAAAAAACUUUUGCUCUUGGACCUCUCUCAUAAUCAUUUCUCGGGUGAGUUACCAAAACAACUGGCCACAGAUUCUGAUAGUUUACUAUACUUGUCCGUCUCCGACAACUUUCUAAGUGGUAAUAUUCCCAAAUUUUGUAAUUUAGGGAUGAAAAAUUUAUUUCUUAAUAAUAACAACUUUAGUGGAACACUUGAAGAUGUAUUGGGAAACAAUACAGAAUUAGCAUUUCUAUCCAUAUCCAAUAAUUCAUUCUCAGGCACAAUUCCUAGUUCAAUUGGGACGUUUUCUAACAUGGAAGUCCUUAUCAUGUCUGAAAAUCUAUUAGAAGGUGAGAUCCCUAUUGAGUUUUCCAACAUGUUCAGUCUUGAAAUGUUGGAUCUUUCUUCAAAACAAGUUAAAUGGAUCAAUCCCACCUUUAAGUAGUUUGACUUCUCUAAAGUUCUUGUAUUUGCAAAAGAAUGAUCUCUCUGGAUCUAUACCAAUUGAACUGUCUGAAAGCUCAAAACUACAACUUCUGGAUUUGAGGGAGAACAAAUUUUCAGGUAAAAUUCCCAAUUGGAUUGAUAAUCUCUCAGAGUUGCGUGUUCUUUUACUAGGAUGGAAUAACUUGGAAGGAGAUAUUCCAAUUCAAUUGUGUCGAUUAAAAAAGAUCAACAUGAUGGACCUAUCGCGGAACAUGUUCAAUGCUUCAAUACCAUCUUGCUUCCAAAAUUUGACAUUUGGUAUAGGACAGUACAAUGAUGGACCUAUUUUUGUAAUCUCAAUAAGUCUGACACAAGAUAUUCCAAAUGGUGCACCUCCUUUUAUUUGAAUUAUCUCAUGGCGAACUACACUUGGAAGUGGAGUUCAGAACAAAGCACAAUGAUUACUUUUACAAAGGUAAAGUCCUAGAGAAAAUGACUGGAUUGGAUUUAUCAUGCAACAAGCUAACAGGUACUAUCCCUUCUCAAAUUGGGCACCUGCAACAAGUUUUAGCCUUGAACCUAUCACAUAAUCACUUGUCGGGUCCUAUUCCAAUUACGUUUUCAAAUCUUACCGAAAUAGAGAGCCUUGACUUAUCAUACAAUAACUUGAGUGGUAAGAUACCUUAUGAGCUAACCCAGUUGACCUUUUUAUCAACCUUCAACGUGUCAUACAACAACCUUUCUGGAACACCACCUAGUACAGGACAGUUUGCAACCUUCGUUGAGGACAGCUACAGAGGUAAUCCCGGUCUUUGUGGAUCACUCCUCGACCGAAAGUGUGAAGGUGUCAAGUCUUCACCAUCAUCACAAUCCAAUGACAAUGAAGAAGAGGAAACAAAUGUGGACAUGAUAACAUUUUAUUGGAGGUUUCUACAGCAUCUUACAUAACAAUAUUGUUGGCCUUCGUAACAGUGUUGUGUAUCAAUGCUCGUUGGCGUAUGGCUUGGUUUUAUUACAUUAGUAAGUUUGCACGAUUUUUUUUUCCAACUUUUCCAUUGUACUGAAGAGUGUACGUAGUACCUGUUGAAACUUUACGUGGAGUCUCAAAUAUUUGGAUAUUGUAAUUUUUAUAUUUAUCGUUAAUUUCAGACAGUUUGAUGCUGGACAUGAUUUUAAGCUCUUUUUAUUUUUUCAUUGUUUUUUGUGUGAUGUACUUGUCUGCAGUUGUUUGAUUUGAAGCUAUUGAAUACAUUAUUAUGUUUUUUUCUUUCUUCAUAUUAAUGCUUAUCUAAUUACUCUGUUGUCAGACUCUAAUAGCAAUCAGAAGAAGAAUUGUUGUUGUUUUUUUUAUCUUCAUAUUAAUGCAUAAUCAAUUAGCUAACUGUAUACAUUUGUCAUAGAAUAUCAAAAUUAUGCAGACUCAGAAAUAUUGAAGACUUCAUUAUGAACUUAAUAUCAUGUUAAUAGUCUCAUUGAAAUGUGGUUGUACUUGUACACUUGUACUAGUUAAUUAUGUUAUCAAUUAUCUUAGUACUGGACCUCGACUAAGUAUGAGAAUGAUGUUAGUUUAUUGUAACACGUAUUAUUAUCAAAUCUCUUAUUAUUUGUGGUUUCUUUCAUCCUUUUGUAUUGAAACCAUGUUGUUGAAUCCAAUAGCAGCGAUUUCCGAUUAAGUUGCAUACAACUUCUGUUACCAUCUUUGUCGUCAUAUCAUAUCCAAGAGUUCCUCAAAUAGCUCUGAGACCUGUUUCAAAGAUCCAUCAAAUGACGUUCUGCAGCCAUUGACCCGGCAGCAGCCAUUGAUUCUGUGACAGGCCCUAUGCUAGAGUAUUAUUGAAAAGAUGAAAAGAAAACGAGCAAAAACUGUUUUUUACUCGAGAGCAUGCUCUGUCGAUGGAAUCAUUCCCUUCUAGAGAGCCUUGUGUACAAUACUAACUCCAAUGCCAUUAAUAUUUGCCUUUAGUUUUCUUUUGUCAUUAAUUAAUUCUUCAACCACCAAAUCGGGUCAUGUCUUUAUAAGUCAAUCUCAAAUUAGUCUCUAACUCUAUUAAUAUUUCAAAUUAGUCUCUGUCUUUCUCAAAAGUUUCUAAACCACAUUCCUCGACAUGUGACAAAAACAUAAAGACAAGGACCUAAUUAACAAACUUUUAACAAAGUGCUUUUGUAAGUAAUUCAUUAUGAGACCCUAUGUUUUACGGUUUCUUUCAUAAUGUUAUUGUUUUUCAUUGAAAGGUUUAGCUCUCAUAUUUAACACUUUUGUUGUUUUUUGUUAAAGUAACUUCUUAUAUUUUUCUAAUACCUCGAAUGUCAAUGUAUCUUACUAAUUUGUUUAUAUCCAUGAGAUUACAAUUAGUUGUUGAACCUUGUUUAAGCGUUUUCGUGAGAUCUGUCUGAUUUAAUGAACAGAAUGGCUUUUCCAGGUCGCAUUGAGCAUGGUAUGAGAGGAAGGUUUUGCAUCUUUCUACUAUGGCCUUUGGCCGUCACUUAUUGGAAUAGCUUCAUAUAUUCCAGUUAACUUUUGUGUUUUUGACUUGCGAUCGAGUUUGAGUAAUUGUUUUUGACUAACAUUGAAAUUAAAACAUCAUAACCAUACCAGAGAAGUCGUCACCACCAUGCUUUAAAAAUUCAGCAUCACUUGCAACACAAUGAUGGGAAAUAUUUGAAGCUCAAAUGCUUCAGUGUUCACAUAUAACUGCCAUAUUAAUAUUAUGGUCGAUGCAGGUAAUGGGAAACACAUGAAUCAAAAUUGGCAAAUGAUCAUAUACUUGUUUUUUCAUUGGAAGAUCUUUCUUAUGAUCUGAAUGGCAACUUUACCCAUUCUAGCUAUGGGUAAUCAACGGUGCAAGGCUGCCCCUGAUUGUCUUUCAAAUUCAAACGAGAAUGAAAUGUAGAAAGAGUUUUCAUUUUUAUACAAAAGAGCUUAUUACGCAGUUGCUUGGUUGGAAUUAUUCACAAAUAAUAUAAAAUUUGUUUUGUCAUUCUACUUAUACUAGUUAUUUUGCAAAAACAUAUUAAGAAAUGUAAUUAAUAUUGUAUAUGAAAGAGAUAUUAUCAGUAGUUUUACACAUUUGUCUUAAAAUGAUUGAAAUUAAUAAAUAGGUAAGAGUAUAAUAGGAAAAUUAACAUUAAUGUUACCGUAAAACAACUUAUAAUUUGGGACUAACUUUUUUUUUUUUUCUUUUUUUUUUUUCAAAAUUAUAAUUUGAGAUGGAGAGAGUAUUAAUUAAACUAGUAAUGUUAACAUACGUACGUAUAUUUAGUCUUGCAAGCAGCAAGAUAACAUUAGCAUCUUUGUCAAAUGUCAUAUUCUCUAGUCAACUCCAAGUCUUUCUUGUGCUUCAAGGAAGUUUCUUGGAAUUGAAAAGUCCCAUCUUUGUGUAUACAUGAAUUUGGGGCAAGACUGAAAAGUCCCAACAUAAUGAUUCUUGCCGGAAAGAAAGACACUUACAAAACUAAAUGAUAUGUUAUCAUAAUUUUCCGGUAACAUUUUCCACUUCCUAUUAGUUUAAUUUAUAUGCACAGCCAAUUUAAAGAUUUUUUACACUUGCAAUUGUCAUAUCAUUGAAAUCAUUUAACUUCAAUGAUAACUACUUCUAAAGUUGUACAUAUAAUUAAUUGUGAUUUGUUAAUAAUAUAAUUUUUUUUUUUUUUAAAUUGACGGUGUAUAUCAAAAUUAACUAUGGCUACAUCAAGGUUUGUUAUAUCAUAGUUUAAAAAGUGAAUACUUUUUCCUCUCCUCACUGAUUCCUUAUAUUUUUCAAUGUAGGCAGGAACCGAAAGUUUUCAGUUUGAUGAGAACAUAGAACAGGAAUGGAAAAUUCAAAUACAAAAUUUAGGCAAUGGCUAAAACAGCAUUUUAAGUAUAAUAGAUGGAAAAAAAAACUUAUAAUAGAAGGAAAAAAUUAAGAUUUAUUGAUACUGGAAAAAAUUAAGAUUUAUUGAUAUUGCAAAAUGAUAUAUAAAUUGGGAGAAAAAAAAAAAGUAAAUGGGAGAAUUUUACUUCUUAUAACUUUAAACUUAUUUGACGCUGGUUAAACUAUUUUUAAUGACCGAUGUUAGUAUACUUAAUUAUUACUUACUAUCCUAUUUGUUUGAGGGAGAAGUUGAGCAAAUGACCUCUUUACCACUCAAAUACUUACAUCCUUCCGUUAAACUACCAAACAAAGACCCCUAUAUGGUUACUAUAUUGAAAGCAACAACUAACUACUAAUGUUCACAUACAUAUUUAAUAUCAUGCAAGAUAAGUUUAGCAUCUUUCUCAAAUGUCAUCAUCUCUAGUCAACUCCAAGUCUUUCUUGUGCUUGGUGGAAGUUUCUUGUAAUAGAUAAUAUCCCAUAAUUUUAGUGUAUAUAAUGUAUAUGAGGUGAUUAUAGGAUUCGGACCAAAACUGCACACAAUACCCAUACAUUUCUCAAAAAUGAAGUUGGGUUUGAUAAUUAGUUCCCUUUUAUAUUUUGUGAUUUUAAUGUUAAUUCAAAAUCAAGGAUGUAACGGAUGCUUAGAGAAAGAGAGAAUAGGGUUGUUGGAGAUCAAGCACUACAUCUUGUCACAAGACGAAGGAUAUUCUUACCAUAGCACAGAAGAGUAUUCUUAUAAUAUCAAAGAAUUGGGUUCAUGGGUUGAUGAUAGAGAUAGCAAUUGUUGUUCUUGGAAAAGAGUCAAGUGCUCUAACACCUCUUCUGGUCACAUAACUGAAUUAUCCCUUUACUUGUUACUAUUUGAGACCCCUGAUUCUAAGAUGUUAAAUGUUUCAUUGUUCCGUCCAUUUGAAGAGCUACGCCUCCUUGACUUGUCCUA